This 789-nucleotide ribosomal RNA is filed under the name uncultured Alphaproteobacteria bacterium. RNAcentral's name for it is "bacterial SSU rRNA". It matches the Rfam family "Bacterial small subunit ribosomal RNA", at positions 37 to 875 of the family's 1533-position model. The record is from RNAcentral. Lineage: Bacteria; Pseudomonadati; Pseudomonadota; Alphaproteobacteria.
UGGCGGCACGCCUAACACAUGCAAGUCGAACGCAGUAGCAAUACUGAGUGGCAGACGGGUGAGUAACAUGUGGGAAUCUGCCUUGUGGUUCAGGACAACAUUGGGAAACCGAUGCUAAUACUGGAUAAGCCCUUACGGGGAAAGUUUUAAUGCCAUAAGAUGAGCCCGCAUUUGAUUAGUUAGUUGGUGAGGUAAUGGCUCACCAAGACAAUGAUCAAUAGCUGAUCUGAGAGGAUGAUCAGCCACACUGGGACUGAGACACGGGCCCAGACUCCUACGGGAGGCAGCAGUGGGGAAUCUUGCACAAUGGAGGAAACUCUGAUGCAGCGAUGCCGCGUGAGUGAAGAAGGCCUUUGGGUUGUAAAGCUCUUUUGUAGGGGAAGAUAAUGACUGUACCCUAAGAAUAAGGUCCGGCUAACUUCGUGCCAGCAGCCGCGGUAAUACGAAGGGACCUAGCGUAGUUCGGAAUUACUGGGCGUAAAGCGCGCGUAGGCCGUUGAGUUAGUUAAUUGUGAAAUCCCAAAGCUUAACUUUGGAACUGCAAUUAAAACUGCUCGACUAGAGUUUGAUAGAGGAAAGCGGAAUACAUAGUGUAGAGGUGAAAUUCGUAGAUAUUAUGUAGAACACCAGUUGCGAAGGCGGCUUUCUGGAUCAACACUGACGCUGAGGCGCGAAAGUAUGGGUAGCAAAGAGGAUUAGAUACCCUCGUAGUCCAUACCAUAAACGAUGAUUGCUAGAUGUUGGAAAUUUAUUUCAGUAUCGCAGCUAACGCAUUAAGCAAUCCGCCUG